UAGCUCAGUGGUAGAGCACCUGCCUAGCAUGCAGGAUGCUCUGGGUUCGACACCAG
Molecule: transfer RNA, 56 nt
Filed under: Fukomys damarensis (Damara mole-rat)
Lineage: Eukaryota; Metazoa; Chordata; Mammalia; Rodentia; Bathyergidae
Rfam family: tRNA
About the family: Transfer RNA (tRNA) molecules are approximately 80 nucleotides in length.
Source: Rfam by way of RNAcentral